GCGGCAGGCUUAACACAUGCAAGUCGAGGGGUAACAUAAUUUGCUUGCAAAUUGAUGACGACCGGCGCACGGGUGAGUAACGCGUAUACAAUCUACCUUAUACUGGGGUAUAGCCUUUAGAAAUGAAGAUUAACACCCCAUAGUCUAUAAAUAUGGCCUCAUAUUAAUAGUAAAGGAUACGGUAUAAGAUGAGUAUGCGUCCUAUUAGAUAGUUGGUAAGGUAACGGCUUACCAAGUCGACGAUAGGUAGGGGCCCUGAGAGGGGGAUCCCCCACACUGGUACUGAGACACGGACCAGACUCCUACGGGAGGCAGCAGUGAGGAAUAUUGGACAAUGGAGGCAACUCUGAUCCAGCCAUGCCGCGUGCAGGAAGACUGCCCUAUGGGUUGUAAACUGCUUUUAUAUAGGAAGAAACGUUUCCACGAGUUGGGAAUUUGACGGUACUAUAAGAAUAAGGACCGGCUAACUCCGUGCCAGCAGCCGCGGUAAUACGGAGGGUCCGAGCGUUAUCCGGAAUCAUUGGGUUUAAAGGGUCCGUAGGCGGGCUUCUAAGUCAGUGGUGAAAUCUUACAGCUCAACUGUAAAAUUGCCAUUGAUACUGGAGGUCUUGAAUUAGUGUGAAGUGAUUAGAAUGUGUAGUGUAGCGGUGAAAUGCAUAGAUAUUACACAGAAUACCAAUUGCGAAGGCAGAUCACUAACACUAUAUUGACGCUGAGGGACGAAAGCGUGGGGAGCGAACAGGAUUAGAUACCCUGGUAGUCCACGCCGUAAACGAUGGAUACUAGCUGUUCGUGGCGCA
RNAcentral lists this ribosomal RNA (800 nucleotides) under uncultured bacterium. RNAcentral's name for it is "bacterial SSU rRNA". It matches the Rfam family "Bacterial small subunit ribosomal RNA", at positions 39 to 833 of the family's 1533-position model. The record is from RNAcentral.